Molecule: ribosomal RNA, 57 nt
Filed under: uncultured eukaryote
Lineage: Eukaryota
Description: partial small subunit ribosomal RNA
Source: RNAcentral
CCAUGACUGGGGUGAAGUCGUAACAAGGUAACCGUAGGUGAACCUGCAGAAGGACCA